Molecule: ribosomal RNA, 586 nt
Filed under: uncultured bacterium
Lineage: Bacteria
Description: partial 16S ribosomal RNA
Rfam family: Bacterial small subunit ribosomal RNA
Source: RNAcentral
UGGGGAAUUUUGGACAAUGGGCGAAAGCCUGAUCCAGCAAUGCCGCGUGUGUGAAGAAGGCCUUCGGGUUGUAAAGCACUUUUGUCCGGAAAGAAAUCCUUGGCUCUAAUACAGUCGGGGGAUGACGGUACCGGAAGAAUAAGCACCGGCUAACUACGUGCCAGCAGCCGCGGUAAUACGUAGGGUGCAAGCGUUAAUCGGAAUUACUGGGCGUAAAGCGUGCGCAGGCGGUUUGCUAAGGCCGAUGUGAAAUCCCCGGGCUCAACCUGGGAACUGCAUUGGUGACUGGCAGGCUAGAGUAUGGCAGAGGGGGGUAGAAUUCCACGUGUAGCAGUGAAAUGCGUAGAGAUGUGGAGGAAUACCGAUGGCGAAGGCAGCCCCCUGGGCCAAUACUGACGCUCAUGCACGAAAGCGUGGGGAGCAAACAGGAUUAGAUACCCUGGUAGUCCACGCCCUAAAACGAUGUCAACUAGUUGUUGGGGAUUCAUUUCCUUAGUAACGUAGCUAACGCGUGAAGUUGACCGCCUGGGGAGUACGGUCGCAAGAUUAAAACUCAAAGGAAUUGACGGGGUCAUAGCUGUUUCCU